GGUGGCUCAGUGGUAGAGUGCUUGCUUUGCAUGCAUGAGGCCUUGGGUUCGAUUCCUCAGCACCG
Molecule: transfer RNA, 65 nt
Filed under: Dipodomys ordii (Ord's kangaroo rat)
Lineage: Eukaryota; Metazoa; Chordata; Mammalia; Rodentia; Heteromyidae
Rfam family: tRNA
About the family: Transfer RNA (tRNA) molecules are approximately 80 nucleotides in length.
Source: Rfam by way of RNAcentral